This 322-nucleotide ribosomal RNA is filed under the name uncultured Chloroflexota bacterium. Its description in RNAcentral is "bacterial SSU rRNA". It matches the Rfam family "Bacterial small subunit ribosomal RNA", at positions 28 to 351 of the family's 1533-position model. The record is from RNAcentral. Lineage: Bacteria; Bacillati; Chloroflexota.
GAUGAACGCUGGCGGCGUGCCUAACACAUGCAAGUCGAACGUGAGAGAGUAGCAAUAUUCUUGAAAGUGGCGAACGGGUGAGUAACACGUGGGUAACCUGCCCUGAAGUGGGGGAUAACGACUGGAAACGGUUGCUAAUACCGCAUGAGGCUGAGGUGACGGGAGUCACAGCAGCGAAAACUCUGGUGCUUCAGGAGGGGCCUGCGGCCGAUUAGCUAGUUGGCGGGGUAAGAGCCCACCAAGGCGACGAUCGGUAGCUGGUCUGAGAGGACGAUCAGCCACACGGGAACUGAGAAACGGUCCCGACACCUACGGGAGGCUG